This 468-nucleotide ribosomal RNA is filed under the name uncultured bacterium. RNAcentral describes it as "partial 16S ribosomal RNA". It matches the Rfam family "Bacterial small subunit ribosomal RNA", at positions 28 to 507 of the family's 1533-position model. The record is from RNAcentral.
GACGAACGCUGGCGGCGUGCUUAACACAUGCAAGUCGAACGGAAAGGCACUGCUUUUGUGGGGUGCUCGAGUGGCGAACGGGUGAGUAACACGUGAGUAACCUGCCCUUGACUUUGGGAUAACUUCAGGAAACUGGGGCUAAUACCGGAUAGGAGCUCCUGCUGCAUGGUGGGGGUUGGAAAGUUUCGGCGGUUGGGGAUGGACUCGCGGGUUAUCAGCUUGUUGGUGGGGUAGUGGCUUACCAAGGCUUUGACGGGUAGCCGGCCUGAGAGGGUGACCGGCCACAUUGGGCCUGAGAUACGGCCCAGUCUCCUACGGGAGGCAGCAGUGGGGAAUAUUGCACAAUGGGCGGAAGCCUGAUGCAGCAACGCCGCGUUCGGGAUGACGGCCUUCUGGUUGUAAACCGCUUUCGCCUGUGACGAAGCGUGAGUGACGGUAAUGGGUAAAGAAGCACCGGCUAACUACGUG